Long non-coding RNA from Symphalangus syndactylus (siamang), 1361 nucleotides. RefSeq lists it as uncharacterized. The record is from RefSeq and is a predicted model, not a curated record. Lineage: Eukaryota; Metazoa; Chordata; Mammalia; Primates; Hylobatidae.
GUAAGCCAUUUUAAUUGUUAUGUAUCAGAUGCAGAGCCCAGGACAAAGGACAGAGCUGUGAAAACAAUGCUUGGAGGAUCUGAUCCCUUCUAGCAAGGCCAAGAGACCCGGCUGAGCUGGGAGGACGGGGUCUCCAGGCCUCACCAUGGCCACUUAUAUAGACCCCAGCAUCAAAAGGCUCAAAGCCAAGGACACAGGCUCAUGAAAAAAUUAAGCAGGUUCCCUUGACUGUGGCUUCCAGAAGAGCAGAGCUCUGGAGUCCUGCUGAGCAUGCCAAAUCUGUGGGGGCCAAGAGAUAACUCCCCCUUCACCCUCUGAAGUUUCACUGAAACAUCAACCAACAAAAAGCAGAUUAAUAAGAGAAAUGGCAUACAACUGUGUUAAGAAUUCCAGAAACUGGCCUUAGGAGAUAACCAAGGUUGUGGAGUGUCCCACCUCGGGAAGGAAUGCUGAACAAUUGAUUCGUAGCCUUGUGGCUGUUGGCCAGACCACCAGGUGACCUACUAUUAAUCAAGAGAACCAUUACAACCAAAUAAUGCUGGCCUGCAUACCGUACCCUUCAUGAACUUCGCCCAGCCCAGCCUGUGCACCCUAUCCCUCAUGUCAAUUCCCAUGCUUCGCCUAAUAAAAAAGUUCCACCAGCUCUUUUGAAGGAGUCAGGGAGUUCUCUUUCUCUCCCUCCCGUGCUGCCUCCCUUAUGCCCAGGCAUAAGCUCCAACGAAGCCUUGUCUGGAAAACUCUUUCAGCCUUAUGUCAAUUUCUAUCUCAUUGAGAGCCCACGAGCUCAUGGUGGGUAACAAACUGUCUUUGGUCAUUCCUGGGCGUAGGCCAGGCUAACUGUGGGAGGAAUUUGGUUUAUAGUUUAACUUAAAUGAUAAUAAAGAUGAUAAUAGUCCUUCCCAGAAACUAACUCCCUCCUUGCUCACCAUCAAAUACUUUGUAAGCAAGAAUAGGAUUAUGAGAGGGGCCUGAACUCAGCUAAGAUAUAGACAUAUUUUCUGUAAUCUUUCACUGCUUUGGGAUUAUAGAAAAUGUGGCUAGAGGUCACAAGAUUUGUGACUUUUCCAUUUACAGAUAACGUCACUACUGUAGAACCUAAGGGCUUUUUUGCGAUGUUUUUCAGACUGACCCCACCCAGACUUGUGAGUCAGCUGGUGCAGACUCCAUGCUGAAGGACCAUUUUUCACACCCCUAUUAUUUCAUCCCCCACCAAUUAGCAACACCCAUUCCCUGGACCCUGCUCAUCAAAUUAUCCAUAAAAACUCUAACCUUUGAGCCUACAGGAAGGUGAAUUUGAGUGUGAACUCCUGUUCUCCUGCGUGGGACAGCCUCCAGUCAAUUAAAGUCUUUCUCCUUUGCAA